Non-coding RNA from Anguilla rostrata (American eel), 306 nucleotides. RefSeq annotates it as small Cajal body-specific RNA 2. The record is from RefSeq and is a predicted model, not a curated record. Lineage: Eukaryota; Metazoa; Chordata; Actinopteri; Anguilliformes; Anguillidae. The transcript has a single exon.
GAAUAUGAGUGAGAGUGUGUGUAAAUGUUGUCUGUUGUGUGAUUGAGUUGUUAGGGGAAAAAACUACACCGUGAUCUUAUUUGAUCAGAUUGGAGACUGGCCUUGCUUCAAUUCUGAAAUGAUAUAACCCGACAUGCGAGCCUACUGGGCGAUGAGCAAGAGGCAUUUCGUUAACGUUAACUCAAGGCCGCCACAAAAGCUUGUGGUCUAGAGAUGAUGAUUUGAUCAGAUAUACUAGUACCGGUAAAGCCAGGGUUUUACUUCUGGGUCUUCCGGUCGAUGAGUAUAGAGGCGAUUCUGAUCUGA